RNAcentral lists this ribosomal RNA (765 nucleotides) under uncultured Streptococcus sp. RNAcentral describes it as "bacterial SSU rRNA". It matches the Rfam family "Bacterial small subunit ribosomal RNA", at positions 28 to 776 of the family's 1533-position model. The record is from RNAcentral. Lineage: Bacteria; Bacillati; Bacillota; Bacilli; Lactobacillales; Streptococcaceae.
GACGAACGCUGGCGGCGUGCCUAAUACAUGCAAGUAGAACGCUGAAGAGAGGAGCUUGCUCUUCUUGGAUGAGUUGCGAACGGGUGAGUAACGCGUAGGUAACCUGCCUUGUAGCGGGGGCUAACUAUUGGAAACGAUAGCUAAUACCGCAUAACAAUGGAUGACACAUGUCAUUUAUUUGAAAGGGGCAAUUGCUCCACUACAAGAUGGACCUGCGUUGUAUUAGCUAGUAGGUGAGGUAACGGCUCACCUAGGCGACGAUACAUAGCCGACCUGAGAGGGUGAUCGGCCACACUGGGACUGAGACACGGCCCAGACUCCUACGGGAGGCAGCAGUAGGGAAUCUUCGGCAAUGGGGGCAACCCUGACCGAGCAACGCCGCGUGAGUGAAGAAGGUUUUCGGAUCGUAAAGCUCUGUUGUAAGUCAAGAACGAGUGUGAGAGUGGAAAGUUCACACUGUGACGGUAGCUUACCAGAAAGGGACGGCUAACUACGUGCCAGCAGCCGCGGUAAUACGUAGGUCCCGAGCGUUGUCCGGAUUUAUUGGGCGUAAAGCGAGCGCAGGCGGUUUGAUAAGUCUGAAGUUAAAGGCUGUGGCUCAACCAUAGUUCGCUUUGGAAACUGUCAAACUUGAGUGCAGAAGGGGAGAGUGGAAUUCCAUGUGUAGCGGUGAAAUGCGUAGAUAUAUGGAGGAACACCGGUGGCGAAAGCGGCUCUCUGGUCUGUAACUGACGCUGAGGCUCGAAAGCGUGGGGAGCGAACAGG